RNAcentral lists this long non-coding RNA (769 nucleotides) under Sinocyclocheilus grahami. Its description in RNAcentral is "lncRNA (ENSSGRG00000054747.1)". Lineage: Eukaryota; Metazoa; Chordata; Actinopteri; Cypriniformes; Cyprinidae. The record is from RNAcentral.
CAGCAGCAUGAUCAGUUCCUAUAUGCAGCCAGAGCAGAAAGUCUCAGUUGGUCCCCCUCCAUCCCCUCACUUGAUGGUCGAGCCCUCUAGUGGGCAUGUUAGUCCUGGUGAAACACUGUCAUUCCACUGUCAGGCUCCACCUGACCGUCAGAAACAGUCUCCUGAGGCUUUUCUCUUGCUCCGGAGAGCCAAAGGAACCCCGGGCUCCAUGGUCGCUCCAGCCCAGCUGGUGUCUGAGUCUCAUGAUGCUCACUUCAAUGUGAAGACAAAGGGACGAGAGGACGGUGGAGAGUAUGUCUGCCUCUACCAACUCAAAUCACAGAAGACGGGACAGGUGAACUCCACAGCCAGUCAGCCGGUACACAUUACUGUCAUAGAGCUCCCAGUCCCCACUCUGUCCUUGUCCCGACACAAGGGUGAAGUUCUGGAGUGUGUUGGGUCACCCUCAUAUCCGCAAGGCUACUUCAGUUUAUUUCGUGUCGGUGUCCUGUCACCUGAGGCGACCCAUCAGGCUUCCCUGACCCAACACAGUGCUAGAUUUCCCAUACCCACCCGUUAUGAACAUGGUGCACAGUAUCAGUGUCAGUACAGCGUGUCAUUGGGCAACUCCAAGGCGUACUCUAAAAUGAGCUCACCAGUAACUAUCCCAUGCAUUUCAGGUACUGAAUGUAUUAUACUAAAUGUGAUAUGAUAUCUCAUGAUGUUACAUAAGAUCUUAAAAUCUGAUUUAUUGCAUAAUUUUUCAGGAUAUCAUGAAUGCACAUCGAGC